ACAAAUCUUGUGGACGAAAAACAAAUCAACGAAGGGACCACAUUUGACAUCACCAUAGAGAGGGGAGAGGGGUCUCUACUCUCUAGUAUCCCUCAUUCGGUCGCUAUGGCGGCUUCCUCUCUCCAUUCUUCUCUCAUUUGCUCUCCCUUUUCCUAUUCUUCUUCUGGCUCGUUCUUUUCAUUCUUUGUUUUCUUAUUGCUUUAAUCAAGGAAUGAGGUUUAAUCCCUAGCUUGGGCAUGGAAUGGCCACUAGUGGUAUCACUUUACAUCCAAAUGGGCCAAUCUGGUGGGAGGGGGGAUAAGUUGGGUGUCAAAUAAGAAGUCCCAACUACUUCUUGGUUAUACAAAAAAAAUCUAUUAUGAAAAAAUAUUUUAAUUAUUUUGAAUAAGCUUUAUGUUACAAAUUAUGUUGAUUAGAUACCUUUUAAUGGGCUUUUCACUAACUAAAUCUCAAGUAUGCUGAUCUAAACCAUGUGGCAUGAAGAAUUGUGGUUGCAGAGAUAAAAUAAAACGAUGUAUUGUAGGUGAUGAGGUUGAUGGUGUUCCUGGUAUCCAACAUCUGGUCCCUAGUUUUGGUCGGAAGACUGCUCUAAAACUUAUUAAAAAGCAUGGUUCAUUGGAAACUUUAUUAAAUGCAGCUGCAAUAAGGACUGUAGGCAGACCAUAUGCGCACGAUGCCCUUAAAAACCAUGCUACCUACGGAGAAAUUAUAAAGUGCUUGCCUUGAAAAGGGAUGUAAAUGUCCAACUUAUUGAGGGGUGGUUGGUUAAGAGAGACAAUUUCAAUGAUAAAAUUGCACUAUCUGCCUUCUUCAAAUAUUUGGAAGAAAGUAAGGAGCUUCCAAUCGAUGUGUAGAGUUUCAAGCUAAAUCACAAUCUAUAUGUAUAUUAGAAAUUAAAUUUUUAUUAUUAAGAUUUAGGUGACUUAAAUGUAAAGUGGAAGAUUACAUUUUACUAGAUAAACCUUAGUUGAAUGGAUGCAUUAAAAGUUGUUUUUGUUUCAACUUCCAAGAGAACUUAUUUAUUAUAGUUGGUGACAAUCUUCAUCAUAAAAAAAAAAUUAAUGAAGAAACACAAUACAUGAAGAGAAAAUGUGUGAAAAAAGAGAUUGUGAAACAAAGUCUCUUUGUUGAGAGAAAAAUGUCUUUGUGUGAGAGUGUUAUCAUUUCUUGUAAUCAUUGAGUGAAAUACUCAAGUUUGUAGAGUGAUACACUAUUUGAGGUGAAUUAUAAUUUUGUAAUCAUUUUUGUGAUAGUGAAAUACUUUUUGAGACCA
Long non-coding RNA from Glycine soja, 1273 nucleotides. RefSeq lists it as uncharacterized. The record is from RefSeq and is a predicted model, not a curated record. NCBI's taxonomy places the organism in Eukaryota, Viridiplantae, Streptophyta, Magnoliopsida, Fabales, Fabaceae. The transcript is spliced from 3 exons.